UGGUGGAGCGAUUUGUCUGGUUAAUUCCGAUAACGAACGAGACUCUAGCCUAUUAAAUAAGUUCACCGAUCACGUUACGUCGGCGUCAACUUCUUAGAGGGACAAGUGGCGUUUAGCCACGCGAGAUUGAGCAAUAACA
Molecule: ribosomal RNA, 139 nt
Filed under: uncultured eukaryote
Lineage: Eukaryota
Description: partial 18S ribosomal RNA
Rfam family: Eukaryotic small subunit ribosomal RNA
Source: RNAcentral